GAUGAACGCUGGCGGCGUGCUUAACACAUGCAAGUCGAGCGGUGAAGCUCCAGCUUGCUGGAGUGGAUCAGUGGCGAACGGGUGAGUAACACGUGAGCAACCUGCCCCUGACUCUGGGAUAACAGCCGGAAACGGCUGCUAAUACCGGAUAUGCACCAUGAACGCAUGUUCUGUGGUGGGAAAGAUUUUUCGGUUGGGGAUGGGCUCGCGGCCUAUCAGCUUGUUGGUGAGGUAAUGGCUCACCAAGGCGUCGACGGGUAGCCGGCCUGAGAGGGUGACCGGCCACACUGGGACUGAGACACGGCCCAGACUCCUACGGGAGGCAGCAGUGGGGAAUAUUGCACAAUGGGCGAAAGCCUGAUGCAGCAACGCCGCGUGAGGGAUGACGGCCUUCGGGUUGUAAACCUCUUUUAGCAGGGAAGAAGCGAGAGUGACGGUACCUGCAGAAAAAGCGCCGGCUAACUACGUG
Molecule: ribosomal RNA, 469 nt
Filed under: uncultured bacterium
Lineage: Bacteria
Description: partial 16S ribosomal RNA
Rfam family: Bacterial small subunit ribosomal RNA
Source: RNAcentral